UACGUAUGUCGCAAGCGUUAUCCGGAAUUAUUGGGCGUAAAGGGCAUCUAGGCGGUUAAUCAAGUCGAAGGUGAAAACUUGUGGCUCAACCAUAAGCUUGCCUACGAAACUGAAUGACUAGAGUACUGGAGAGGUGGACGGAACUACACGAGUAGAGGUGAAAUUCGUAGAUAUGUGUAGGAAUGCCGAUGAUGAAGAUAGUUCACUGGACAGAAACUGACGCUGAAGUGCGAAAGCUAGGGGAGCAAACAGG
Molecule: ribosomal RNA, 253 nt
Filed under: uncultured bacterium
Lineage: Bacteria
Description: partial 16S ribosomal RNA
Rfam family: Bacterial small subunit ribosomal RNA
Source: RNAcentral